GCACUGGCUUUUGAUGCCAGCAUUCCCUGGUUCGAAUCCAGGUAGCCCAGCCA
RNAcentral lists this transfer RNA (53 nucleotides) under Vibrio splendidus 5S-101. RNAcentral describes it as "tRNA-Ser". It matches the Rfam family "tRNA", at positions 23 to 71 of the family's 71-position model. From Rfam's summary of the family: Transfer RNA (tRNA) molecules are approximately 80 nucleotides in length. Their secondary structure includes four short double-helical elements and three loops (D, anti-codon, and T loops). The record is from RNAcentral. Lineage: Bacteria; Pseudomonadati; Pseudomonadota; Gammaproteobacteria; Vibrionales; Vibrionaceae.